RNA transcript from Macadamia integrifolia, 2197 nucleotides. It is a transcript of the gene named zinc finger transcription factor YY1-like, with no coding region annotated. NCBI's taxonomy places the organism in Eukaryota, Viridiplantae, Streptophyta, Magnoliopsida, Proteales, Proteaceae. The record is from RefSeq and is a predicted model, not a curated record. The transcript is spliced from 8 exons.
ACCGCUCCGUCUUCUGUCCGCUGUCCUCUGUACACUCGCCAGUCUUCCAUCUUUUUCACUCAUUUCUUUCUCCAUAACGUUUCCAUCUUUGAUUUUUUACCUCUCAAAAUCCUAACCCUAACUCAAAUUCAUCACCAUUUUGCGAUUUCUCGUUGCCCUUGCAAAUCUUGACGAAGUGAAAUGGAGUUGCAGACAAAUUUCAAUCUCUUCGGGAAACGUCCUAUUUUGAAGUGUAAGACUCCUGCAAUCAGAUGGUACAAGGAAUGGGUGCCUCAGGAUGUCGUUUCUACUGGUGGGAAGUGCUUCCUUUUGAAAUGGGUUUCUGACGACACAUUGAAGGCCUUGAAAGAGAAGUCUAAAGAGCCUGAGGCUGAAGAACCAGAACCAGAACCAGAACCAGAGCCUACUACAGAAGUUCUUUUCCUUUGCAGCUAUGAAGGCUGUGGAAAAACUUUUAUUGAUGCUGGAGCAUUGAAGAAACAUUCUCACAUUCAUGGGGAAAGACAAUAUGUUUGUCACUAUGAAGGAUGUGGAAGGAAAUUUCUGGAUAGUUCCAAGCUGAAAAGACACUUUCUUAUUCAUACAGGAGAGAAGCAUUUUGUGUGUCCUCAUGAUGGCUGUGGCAAAGCUUUCUCCCUGGAUUUCAACUUACGGGCACAUAUGCGAACGCAUUCACAAGAGAACUAUCAUGUCUGCCCAUAUGUAGAUUGUGGAAAGAGAUAUGCUCAUGAAUACAAGUUAAGAACUCAUAUCAAGGCUCACCAUGAAAAGAACAUGGCGAUGGAUAUGAUGAAAAACAACCCACCUUCAGAUAAGCUACCCAAUGCUACAAAGCCUUCUGCGGUGAAUUAUGGGUCUGCUUCCACUGACCGGCCUUAUGCCUGUCCUUAUGAAGGAUGCGAUAAGUGCUACAUUCAUGAGUAUAAGCUGAACCUUCAUUUGAAAAGGGAGCAUCCUGGUCAUUAUGCAGAAGAGAAUGGCAAGAAUGACCUUGAUAAUGAUCAUGAGGUGGAUGAAGCCAGUGACCAAGAUGCUUAUGGUGGAAAUGGGAAAAAUUCUAAGCGAAGAAAGCCCAACAGACCCGUGUUGAAGAUGCCACCUUUGAAAAUCCAACUACAAAAACCCUCGAAUGUGGCUGCCCCAAAUUUGAACAUGGUGAAGAAACAGUGGCCGACCAAAGAAAUGUAUGAGGAAGAUGAUAGUGAGGAAACAGAAGAGGAUCGUGAUAAUGUUGAAGAUGGAUGGAGAUACACAGAGAAUAAUGAGGAUGACGAAGAGACAGAGUAUGAGGAUUAAGCAAGGACCCAGUGAUGCAGGAAAUUUUAACAAUUCUGUGAUCGUCCUUUCAGGUUGUACAAGAUGGAAACUGCCAGUUUUAUUCAGCUACAUGGUCUGUGCUGGAUUCUCGUAACUCUCAAUAUGAACAUUUCAUAGAGUGAAGUUUCAACCCAAGUUGAAUAGAUUUUCUACGGUUCUGGAUAGCAAAGAUCUUAUCCUCCUUUGGAUAAUCUGGAAAGUCAGAAAUCAAGCGGUUUUUCAUCACUUGUUCAGACCUCAGUAGCACUCUGCGGAAUUCAAACUCUUUGGUUGCUGAAUGUUGAUAAUUAGCCAUGUGUUAGUUGAGGUCCAUGUGUGUUCCUGUACUGCGUUUCUGCCAUUCCACCAGUUUUGGACCGGAUUUCAUUUUUCAAUCUUGGGAUGGCGCGUGGACUGAAAAACACUUGUGUGGACUGUGGAGGGCUUUGUUUGGUUUUGGUGAUUUUGCGGGCCUUUUUAAUGUUGCCAAGUGCAGAUUUAGCACCAGUUUCUCUACUUCAGUUAUGGAAGUUGAGGUUUUACGUGACGGCCUCCUUGCCAGAAGUUUUCUGAUAAACAAGCUGAUUGUGAGCUCGGACCGUCAAUCGGUGAUUGCUGCUCUUAAUCAUUCAUCUGCUUCUAUUGAUUGGGUGACUCGACUUUUGGUUGAUGAUAUUUUUCUCUUAGCAGAUAAAGUUUGUUUCUGUUUCUUACCGUUAUGUUCCUCAUUGUUGUAUCUUUGAGGCUCAUGGGCUGGCUGCUAGAGCUUCAUCUUUGUUUUAGUCACAGUUUUGGCGGAUUGUCCCCCAUUCUUUUUCUUUCAUCCUUUGUAUCUCUCUCCUGAUGGGAAUUUUCCGAUCAUGGCUUCAGUUAAUAAAUAGCAUGUCAGUUUUUUGAUAAA